GACGAACGCUGGCGGCGUGCUUAACACAUGCAAGUCGAACGGAAAGGCCCUGCUUUUUUGGGUUGCUCGAGUGGCGAACGGGUAAGUAACACGUGAGUAACCUGCCCUUGACUUUGGGAUAACGUUAGGAAACUGGGGCUAAUACCGGUUAGGCACUCCUGCUGCAUGGUGGGGGUUGGAAAGUUUAGGCGGUUGGGGAUGGACUCGUGGCUUAUCAGCUUGUUGGUGGGGUAGUGGCUUACCAAGGCUUUGACGGGUAGCCGGCCUGAGAGGGUGACCGGCCACAGUGGGAAUGAGAUACGGCCGGGACUCCUACGGGAGGCAGCAGUGUGGAAUAUUGCAUGAUGGGCGGAAGCCUGAUGCAGCAAGGCCGCGUGCGGGAUGACGGCCUUCGUGUUGUAAACCGCUUUGGCAUGGGAGGAAGCGUGAGUGACGGUAAUGGGUAAAGAAGCACCGGCUAACUACGUG
Molecule: ribosomal RNA, 468 nt
Filed under: uncultured bacterium
Lineage: Bacteria
Description: partial 16S ribosomal RNA
Rfam family: Bacterial small subunit ribosomal RNA
Source: RNAcentral